CUCCGGUUGAUCCCGCCGGACCCGACUGCUAUCGGAUUGAGAUUUAGCCAUGCGAGUCGAACGUCCCCCUGUUGCGGGGGGCGUGGCGUACGGCUCAGUAACACGUAGUCAACCUGCCCUGGAGACAAGGACAACCCCGGGAAACUGGGAUUAAUCCUUGAUAGGUCAUCUCAUCUGGAAGGAGAGAUGGCUUAAAGGGGUACGCGGGCUUCUUCCGCGAAUCCGCUCCAGGAUGGGACUGCGUCCGAUCAGGCUGUUGGCGGGGUAAUGGCCCACCAAACCUGUAACCGGUACGGGCCUUGAGAGAGGUGGCCCGGAGAUGGACACUGAGAGAAGGGUCCAGGUCCUACGGGGCGCAGCAGGCGCGAAACCUUCGCAAUGCGCGAAAGCGUGACGAGGUUAAUCCGAGUGACUCCCGCUGAGGGGGUCUUUUGUCAGCUGUAAAUAGGCAGGCGAAUAAGGGGAGGGCAAGCCUGGUGUCAGCCGCCGCGGUAAUACCAGCUCCUCGAGUGGUCGGGGCGAUUAUUGGGCCUAAAGCAUCCGUAGCCGGUUCCGUAGGUCCUCUGUUAAAUCCAACCGCUUAACGGUUGACCUGCAGAGGAUACCGCGGGACUAGGAGGCGGGAGAGGCGGACGGUAUUCCGCGUGUAGGGGUAAAAUCCUUUGAUCCGCGGAGGACCACCAGUGGCGAAGGCGGUCCGCCAGAACGCGCUCGACGGUGAGGGAUGAAAGCUGGGGGAGCGAACCGGAUUAGAUACCCGGGUAGUCCCAGCCGUAAACGAUGCUAGCUAGAUGAUUCAUUCGCAAGUCGCGAAUGAAGUGUCGCAGGGAAGCCGUUAAGCUAGCCGCCUGGGGAGUACGGUCGCAAGACUGAAACUUAAAGGAAUUGGCGGGGGAGCA
Molecule: ribosomal RNA, 899 nt
Filed under: uncultured archaeon
Lineage: Archaea
Description: bacterial SSU rRNA
Rfam family: Archaeal small subunit ribosomal RNA
Source: RNAcentral